AGAUUGAACGCUGGCGGCAGGCCUAACACAUGCAAGUCGAGCGGUAGAGAGAAGCUUGCUUCUCUUGAGAGCGGCGGACGGGUGAGUAAUGCCUAGGAAUCUGCCUAGUGGUGGGGGAUAACGUUCGGAAGCGGACGCUAAUACCGCAUACGUCCUACGGGAGAAAGCGGGGGACCUUCGGGCCUCGCGCCAUUAGAUGAGCCUAGGUCGGAUUAGCUAGUUGGUGAGGUAAAGGCUCACCAAGGCGACGAUCCGUAACUGGUCUGAGAGGAUGAUCAGUCACACUGGAACUGAGACACGGUCCAGACUCCUACGGGAGGCAGCAGUGGGGAAUAUUGGACAAUGGGGGAAACCCUGAUCCAGCCAUGCCGCGUGUGUGAAGAAGGUCUUCGGAUUGUAAAGCACUUUAAGUGGAGAAGGGCAGUAACUUAAUACGUUGCUGUUUGACGUUACGACAGAAUAAGCACCGGCUAACUCUGUGCCAGCAGCCG
RNAcentral lists this ribosomal RNA (491 nucleotides) under uncultured soil bacterium. RNAcentral's name for it is "bacterial SSU rRNA". It matches the Rfam family "Bacterial small subunit ribosomal RNA", at positions 26 to 517 of the family's 1533-position model. The record is from RNAcentral.